RNAcentral lists this ribosomal RNA (486 nucleotides) under uncultured bacterium. Its description in RNAcentral is "partial 16S ribosomal RNA". It matches the Rfam family "Bacterial small subunit ribosomal RNA", at positions 28 to 507 of the family's 1533-position model. The record is from RNAcentral.
GAUGAACGCUGGCGGCGUGCCUAGUACAUGCAAGUCGAACGCUGGAGAUCUAGCUUGCUAGCUCGAAGGAGUGGCGAACGGGUGAGUAAUACAUAAGCAACCUACCCACGAAGACUGGGAUAAUCUCUGGAAACGGGGACUAAUACCGGAUAGGUAAUCGGAAGGCAUCUUCUGGUUAUUAAAGGUUAAAAACACUGGUGGAUGGGCUUAUGGCGCAUUAGUUAGUUGGUGAGGUAACGGCCCACCAAGACGAUGAUGCGUAGCCGGCCUGAGAGGGUGAACGGCCACAUUGGGACUGAGACACGGCCCAGACUCCUACGGGAGGCAGCAGUAGGGAAUUUUCGGCAAUGGGGGCAACCCUGACCGAGCAACGCCGCGUGAGUGAAGACGGCCUUCGGGUUGUAAAGCUCUGUUGUAAGGGAAGAACGGUAGAUAGAGAAUAUCUAAGUGACGGUACCUUACCAGAAAGCCACGGCUAACUACGUG